RNAcentral lists this ribosomal RNA (254 nucleotides) under uncultured bacterium. Its description in RNAcentral is "partial 16S ribosomal RNA". It matches the Rfam family "Bacterial small subunit ribosomal RNA", at positions 524 to 776 of the family's 1533-position model. The record is from RNAcentral.
UACGUAGGGUCCGAGCGUUGUCCGGAAUUAUUGGGCGUAAAGAGCUCGUAGGCGGUUUGUCGCGUCUGCUGUGAAAACUCGGGGCUUAACUCCGGGCCUGCAGUGGGUACGGGCAGACUAGAGUGCGGUAGGGGAGACUGGAAUUCCUGGUGUAGCGGUGAAAUGCGCAGAUAUCAGGAGGAACACCGGUGGCGAAGGCGGGUCUCUGGGCCGUAACUGACGCUGAGGAGCGAAAGCGUGGGGGAGCGAACAGG